GACGAACGCUGGCGGCGUGCUUAACACAUGCAAGUCGAGCGGUAAGGCCCUUUCGGGGGUACACGAGCGGCGAACGGGUGAGUAACACGUGGGUGACCUGCCCUCAGCUCUGGGAUAAGCCUGGGAAACCGGGUCUAAUACCGGAUAUGACUCCAUGACGCAUGUUGUGGGGUGGAAAGCCUUGUGCGGCUGAGGAUGGGCCCGCGGCCUAUCAGCUUGUUGGUGGGGUGAUGGCCUACCAAGGCGACGACGGGUAGCCGGCCUGAGAGGCGACCGGCCACACUGGGACUGAGACACGGCCCAGACUCCUACGGGAGGCAGCAGUGGGGAAUCUUGCGCAAUGGGCGAAAGCCUGACGCAGCGACGCCGCGUGAGGGAUGACGGCCUGGUGU
This 392-nucleotide ribosomal RNA is filed under the name uncultured bacterium. RNAcentral describes it as "bacterial SSU rRNA". It matches the Rfam family "Bacterial small subunit ribosomal RNA", at positions 28 to 422 of the family's 1533-position model. The record is from RNAcentral.